This 482-nucleotide ribosomal RNA is filed under the name uncultured bacterium. RNAcentral's name for it is "bacterial SSU rRNA". It matches the Rfam family "Bacterial small subunit ribosomal RNA", at positions 24 to 518 of the family's 1533-position model. The record is from RNAcentral.
UCAGGAUAAACGCUGGCGGCGCACAUAAGACAUGCAAGUCGAACGAACUUAACUAUUAGUUACUAAUAGAGCGGUAGUGGCGGACUGGUGAGUAACGCGUGAGCAACCUGCCUAUCAGAGGGGAACAACAGUUAGAAAUGACUGCUAAUACCGCAUAUGCCUUAGUAACGCAUGUUACAAAGGGAAAGGAGCAAUCCGCUGAUAGAUGGGCUCGCGUCUGAUUAGAUAGUUGGUGGGGUAACGGCUUACCAAGUCGACGAUCAGUAGCCGAACUGAGAGGUUGAACGGCCACAUUGGGACUGAGAUACGGCCCAGACUCCUACGGGAGGCAGCAGUCGGGAAUAUUGCGCAAUGGAGGAAACUCUGACGCAGUGACGCCGCGUGCAGGAAGAAGGUUUUCGGAUUGUAAACUGCUUUAGACAGGGAAGAACAAGGACAGUACCUGUAGAAUAAGCUCCGGCUAACUACGUGCCAGCCGCUGC